GAGCUUCCUCGCCAGUGCAGUUUAUCAAGGUGGUCACCACGACCGGCGCUGCUGUCAGACUGUUGCGGUUAAACCGGCCUUGCGAUGGCCUUGUGGUAUUACAUGGUCGGGAUGGCAGGUAGCUCGUUAGCUUGCGAUUGCUUGCUUUCGAGUGUAAUCAGCUGACCGUGAUGGUUCUGUGCGGUGCGUCGGAGGCGGCGGCUAGUGGUGUGUGCAUGCGUGCCCGAUUUGCUGGCGUAUCCCGGUUUGGUUUCUGUGUUGCCUGUGCUAGCAGGCCUAGUUAUGGCUGGGGUUCGUUCAGUGAAUGGUUGCGUGUGUGACACUUCCAAGGGCCAAUAGUCUGUGGUGUAGUGGUAGACUAUCCACCUGACCCGUCUUGAAACACGGACCAAGGAGAGUAACAUGUACGCGAGUCAUUGGGCGUAACGAAACCCACAGGCGCAGUGAAAGUAAAGGUCUGACUUGUUCAGACUGAGGUGAGAUCCUGUCGUUUCCCACGCGUGGCAUCCCCAAGCACGGAGCGGCAGGCGCAUCACCGGCCCGUCACAUGACGUAGUCUCAUCCUUGGAUGUGCAUCGUCGUGGCGGAGCACGAGCGUACAUGUUGAGACCCGAAAGAUGGUGAACUAUGCUUGCGCAGGUUGAAGCCAGAGGAAACUCUGGUGGAGGACCGCAGCG
This 677-nucleotide ribosomal RNA is filed under the name Lyperosomum sp. c EJH-2023. RNAcentral describes it as "partial large subunit ribosomal RNA". It matches the Rfam family "Eukaryotic large subunit ribosomal RNA", at positions 461 to 882 of the family's 3401-position model. The record is from RNAcentral. Lineage: Eukaryota; Metazoa; Platyhelminthes; Trematoda; Plagiorchiida; Dicrocoeliidae.